This 253-nucleotide ribosomal RNA is filed under the name uncultured bacterium. RNAcentral describes it as "partial 16S ribosomal RNA". It matches the Rfam family "Bacterial small subunit ribosomal RNA", at positions 524 to 776 of the family's 1533-position model. The record is from RNAcentral.
UACAGAGGGGGCCAGCGUUAUUCGGAAUUAUUGGGCGUAAAGGGCGCGUAGGCGGCCAUGCGUGUCUUCCGUGAAAUCCCUCGGCCUAACUGAGGACGUGCGGAAGAAACUGCAAGGCUUGAGUCCGGGAGAGGGGGGUGGAAUUCCCAGUGUAGCGGUGAAAUGCGUAGAUAUUGGGAGGAACACCGGUGGCGAAGGCGGCCCCCUGGACCGGUACUGACGCUGAGGCGCGAAAGCGUGGGGAGCGAACAGG